AUUGAACGCUGGCGGAAUGCUUUACACAUGCAAGUCGAACGGCAGCACGGACUUCGGUCUGGUGGCGAGUGGCGAACGGGUGGGUAAUGUAUCGGAACGUGCCCAGUCGUGGGGGAUAACGUAGUGAAAAUUACGCUAAUACCGCAUACGAUCUAUGGAUGAAAGCGCGGGAUCGCAAGACCUCGCGCGAUUGGAGCGGCCGAUAUCAGAUUAGGUAGUUGGUGGGGUAAAGGCCCACCAAGCCAACGAUCUGUAGCUGGUCUGAGAGGACGACCAGCCACACUGGAACUGAGACACGGUCCAGACUCCUACGGGAGGCAGCAGUGGGGAAUUUUGGACAAGGGGCGAAAGCCUGAUCCAGCCAUUCCGCGUGCAGGAUGAAGGCCCUCGGGUUGUAAGCUGCUUUUGUACAGAACGAAAAGGUUUCUACUAAUACUAGGAGCUCAUGACGGUACUGUAAGAACAAGCACCGGCUAACUACGUGCCAGCCGCCGCAGUAA
RNAcentral lists this ribosomal RNA (500 nucleotides) under uncultured bacterium. RNAcentral's name for it is "partial 16S ribosomal RNA". It matches the Rfam family "Bacterial small subunit ribosomal RNA", at positions 30 to 523 of the family's 1533-position model. The record is from RNAcentral.